CCUACGGGAGGCAGCAGUGAGGAAUAUUGGUCAAUGGACGAGAGUCUGAACCAGCCAAGUAGCGUGCAGGAUGACUGCCCUAUGGGUUGUAAACUUCUUUUAUAUGGGAAUAAAAUGUUCCACGUGUGGGAUUUUGUAUGUACCAUAUGAAUAAGGAUCGGCUAACUCCGUGCCAGCAGCCGCGGUAAUACGGAGGAUCCGAGCGUUAUCCGGAUUUAUUGGGUUUAAAGGGAGCGUAGGUGGAUUGUUAAGUCAGUUGUGAAAGUUUGGGGCUCAACCGUAAAAUUGCAGUUGAAACUGGCAGUCUAGAGUACAGUAGAGGUGGGCGGAAUUCGUGGUGUAGCGGUGAAAUGCUUAGAUAUCACGAAGAACUCCGAUUGCGAAGGCAGCUCACUGGACUGCAACUGACACUGAGGCUCGAAAGUGUGGGUAUCAAACAGGAUUAGAUACCCCUGUAGUC
This 460-nucleotide ribosomal RNA is filed under the name uncultured bacterium. RNAcentral describes it as "partial 16S ribosomal RNA". It matches the Rfam family "Bacterial small subunit ribosomal RNA", at positions 338 to 795 of the family's 1533-position model. The record is from RNAcentral.